GCGGAGAAGGACAGCUCGGCAGCUUACUUGGCUCACCAAGGGGUCGCCGGUUCAAGUUCGGCACCCGCA
Molecule: transfer RNA, 69 nt
Filed under: Endobacterium cereale
Lineage: Bacteria; Pseudomonadati; Pseudomonadota; Alphaproteobacteria; Hyphomicrobiales; Rhizobiaceae
Description: Rhizobiales bacterium RZME27 tRNA-OTHER
Source: RNAcentral